GACAGAGGGUGCAAACGUUGUUCGGAAUUACUGGGCGUAAAGCGCGUGUAGGCUGCUACGAAAGUCGGAUGUGAAAGCCCUGGGCUCAACCUAGGAAGUGCAUUCGAAACUUCGAAGCUGGAGUCCUGGAGAGGAAGGCGGAAUUCUCGGUGUAGAGGUGAAAUUCGUAGAUAUCGAGAGGAACACCGGUGGCGAAGGCGGCCUUCUGGACAGUGACUGACGCUGAGACGCGAAAGCGUGGGGAGCAAACAGG
Molecule: ribosomal RNA, 253 nt
Filed under: uncultured bacterium
Lineage: Bacteria
Description: partial 16S ribosomal RNA
Rfam family: Bacterial small subunit ribosomal RNA
Source: RNAcentral